RNAcentral lists this transfer RNA (73 nucleotides) under Colletotrichum graminicola M1.001. Its description in RNAcentral is "tRNA-Asp (GTC) (tRNA-Asp-GTC-3-1)". It matches the Rfam family "tRNA". Rfam says of the family: Transfer RNA (tRNA) molecules are approximately 80 nucleotides in length. The record is from RNAcentral. Lineage: Eukaryota; Fungi; Ascomycota; Sordariomycetes; Glomerellales; Glomerellaceae.
UCCCCGAUAGUCUAGUGGUGAGGAUAUCUGCUUGUCAUGCAGGGGACCGGGGUUUAAUUCCCCGUCGAGAGAU